ACCCGCUGAACUUAAGCAUAUCAAUAAGCGGAGGAAAAGAAACCAACAGGGAUUGCCCUAGUAACGGCGAGUGAAGCGGCAACAGCUCAAAUUUGAAAUCUGGCGUCUUUGGCGUCCGAGUUGUAAUUUGCAGAGGGCGCUUUGGCAUUGGCAGCGGUCCAAGUUCCUUGGAACAGGACGUCACAGAGGGUGAGAAUCCCGUACGUGGUCGCUAGCCUUUACCGUGCAAAGCCCCUUCGACGAGUCGAGUUGUUUGGGAAUGCAGCUCUAAAUGGGAGGUAAAUUUCUUCUAAAGCUAAAUACUGGCCAGAGACCGAUAGCGCACAAGUAGAGUGAUCGAAAGAUGAAAAGCACUUUGGAAAGAGAGUUAAAAAGCACGUGAAAUUGUUGAAAGGGAAGCGCUUGCAGCCAGACUUGCCUGUAGUUGCUCAUCCGGGUUUUUACCCGGUGCACUCUUCUAUAGGCAGGCCAGCAUCAGUUUGGGCGGUUGGAUAAAGGUCUCUGUCACGUACCUCCUCUCGGGGAGAACUUAUAGGGGAGACGUAAUGCAACCAGCCUGGACUGAGGUCCGCGCAUCUGCUAGGAUGCUGGCGUAAUGGCUGUAAGCGGCCCGUCUUGAAACACGGACCAAGGAGUCUAACAUCUAUGCGAGUGUUUGGGUGUCAAGCCCGAGCGCGUAAUGAAAGUGAACGGAGGUGGGAACCUUUCGGGGUGCACCAUCGACCGAUCCUGAUGUCUUCGGAUGGAUUUGAGUAAGAGCAUAGCUGUUGGGACCCGAAAGAUGGUGAACUAUGCUUGAAUAGGGUGAAGCCAGAGGAAACUCUGGUGGAGGCUCGCAGCGGUUCUGACGUGCAAAUCGAUCGUCAAAUUUGGGCAUAGGGGCGAAAGACUAAUCGAACUAUCUAGUA
RNAcentral lists this ribosomal RNA (908 nucleotides) under Boeremia exigua var. exigua. RNAcentral describes it as "LSU rRNA". It matches the Rfam family "Eukaryotic large subunit ribosomal RNA", at positions 23 to 949 of the family's 3401-position model. Lineage: Eukaryota; Fungi; Ascomycota; Dothideomycetes; Pleosporales; Didymellaceae. The record is from RNAcentral.